RNAcentral lists this ribosomal RNA (460 nucleotides) under uncultured bacterium. Its description in RNAcentral is "partial 16S ribosomal RNA". It matches the Rfam family "Bacterial small subunit ribosomal RNA", at positions 338 to 795 of the family's 1533-position model. The record is from RNAcentral.
CCUACGGGUGGCAGCAGUGAGGAAUAUUGGUCAAUGGGCGCAAGCCUGAACCAGCCAAGUAGCGUGAGGGAAGACUGCCCUAUGGGUUGUAAACUUCUUUUAUACGGGGAUAAAGUUGUGCACGUGUGGCUGUUUGUAGGUACCUUAUGAAUAAGGAUCGGCUAAAUCCGUGCCAGCAGCCGCGGUAAUACGGAGGAUCCGAGCGUUAUCCGGAUUUAUUGGGUUUAAAGGGAGCGUAGGCGGGUUGUUAAGUGAGGUGUGAAAGUUUGCGGCUCAACCGUGAAAGUGCAACGGGUACUGGAAGCCUUGAGUGCAGGUGAGGUAGGCGGAAUUCGGGGUGUAGCGGUGAAAUGCUUAGAUAUCACGAAGAACCCCGAUUGCGAAGGCAGCUUACCAAACCGCUACUGACGCUGAUGCUCGAAAGCGUGGGUAUCAAACAGGAUUAGAUACCCUAGUAGUC